This is a long non-coding RNA of Pygocentrus nattereri (red-bellied piranha), 1083 nucleotides long. The record is from Ensembl. Lineage: Eukaryota; Metazoa; Chordata; Actinopteri; Characiformes; Serrasalmidae.
AUGGGCUCUGACCGUUGUCUGUGCUUAUGCACCAAUCGGCAAUUCGGAGUACUGGAAAGUGCCUCCUGUGGGGACUCCAUUGUCUUGCUGGGUGACUUCAAUGCUCAUGUGGGCAAUGACAGUGAGACCUGGAAGGGCGUGAUUGGGUGGAACAGCCUCCCCGAUCUGAACCUGAGUGGUGUUUUGUUAUUGGAGUCCAGUGCUCACCACAGUCUGUGCAUAACAAACACCAUGUUCGAACACAAAGGUGUGCAUAAAUGCACAUGGCAUCAGGACACCUUAGGCCGCAGUUCGUUGAUCAACUUCAUAGGUGUGUCAUUGGAUUUGCGAUCAUGUGUUUUGGACACCCGGGUGAAGAGAGGAGCGGAGCUUUCAACCGAUCACCACCUAAUGGUGGGUUGGAUCAAAUGGCGGGUGAAAAUACCAGACAGACCCAGCAGAGCCAAACAAGUUGUGAAGGGUUGUUGGGAACGUCUGGCAGAGGAACCUACCAGAAAGAUCUUCAACUUCCACAUCCGACAAAGCUUCGAUCGCAUACCGAUGAAGGCCGGUCACAUCGAGUCUGAGUGGGCCCUGUUCCAUGCCUCCAUUGUCGAUGCAGCGGAUCAGAGCUGUGGCCGCAAGGUCGUGGGUGCCUGUCGUGGCAGCAAUCCCCGAACCCGUUGGUGGACACCUCGGGUAAAGGAAGCCGUCAAGCUGAAGAAAGAGUCCUAUCGGGCCUGGUUGGCUUGUGGGACUCUGGAGGCAAAAGAUGGGUACCGAAGGGCCAAGCAGUUCACCGGGGUGGUGGUCCCACUUUUUAAGAAAGGGGACAGGAGGGUGUGUUCCAACUAUCAGGCAAUCACACUUCUCAGCCUACCCAGUAAGGUCUAUGCAGGGGUACUGGAGAAGAGAGUCCGACCGAUAGCUGAAUCUCAGCUACAAGAGGAACAAUGCGGGUUUCGCCCAGGUCGUGGAACACUGGACCAGCUUUUUAUCCUCACUAGGGUCCUGGAGGGUGCGUGGGAGUUCGCCCAACCAGUCUACAUGUGUUUUGUGGAUUUGGAGAAGGCAUUCGACCGCGUCCCUCAGGGGAUCCUGUAG